UGAAUCGAAGUUCAACAUACUCCAGCUUUAAUAACUUCCUUUUCUUCAUUUUUUUCCUCCAGGCUUUAAAAGAGGUAUCACUGUCUCCUGAUGGGAUCAGCAUUUUGGUAGAGUCACAACCAAAAGGGGAGUUCAUCUUUACAGGUUACGGACCCGGAUCCCAGGGGGUGACACUGAGGACAGUGGUGAUGAGAGAAAGCUGGUGA
Molecule: long non-coding RNA, 206 nt
Organism: Pan paniscus (pygmy chimpanzee)
Lineage: Eukaryota; Metazoa; Chordata; Mammalia; Primates; Hominidae
Source: Ensembl